This 429-nucleotide ribosomal RNA is filed under the name Bacteroidota bacterium. Its description in RNAcentral is "Bacteroidetes bacterium partial 16S ribosomal RNA". It matches the Rfam family "Bacterial small subunit ribosomal RNA", at positions 355 to 776 of the family's 1533-position model. Lineage: Bacteria; Pseudomonadati; Bacteroidota. The record is from RNAcentral.
UAGGGAAUCUUCCGCAAUGGACGCAAGUCUGACGGUGCAACGCCGCGUGAGUGAAGAAGGAUUUCGGUUCGUAAAACUCUGUUGUUAGAGAAGAACAGCGCAUAGAGUAACUGUUAUGCGUGUGACGGUAUCUAACCAGAAAGCCACGGCUAACUACGUGCCAGCAGCCGCGGUAAUACGUAGGUGGCAAGCGUUGUCCGGAUUUAUUGGGCGUAAAGCGAGCGCAGGCGGUCAAUUAAGUCUGAUGUGAAAGCCCCCGGCUCAACCGGGGAGGGUCAUUGGAAACUGGUUGACUUGAGUGCAGAAGAGGAGAGUGGAAUUCCAUGUGUAGCGGUGAAAUGCGUAGAUAUAUGGAGGAACACCAGUGGCGAAGGCGACUCUCUGGUCUGUAACUGACGCUGAGGCUCGAAAGCGUGGGUAGCAAACAGG